Molecule: long non-coding RNA, 3670 nt
Organism: Labrus bergylta (ballan wrasse)
Lineage: Eukaryota; Metazoa; Chordata; Actinopteri; Labriformes; Labridae
Source: RefSeq, a predicted model, not a curated record
UACAAUCAGAACAGAGCCAAGACAUGUAGUCAUAUAUGCAGAUUAGUGUCUAAUGUCUUCAGUUCUGUCUGCAGUUAAAGUUAAUGUUUAAGACCAGCAGCCAAGGACGCAGCAAAUAUGGACCCUUCUCUGCACCCACAGCUAUGGGGGAUUUAUGCAGUAUUUGGUCAUGUUAAAGCUGCUAUGAGGCAUUUUUGAUUAUGAUUAUUGAUGCCUGAAUCUGCUCCUGGCAGCAGGGUCUUAAAACCUGCUAUGUGACGUUGGGCAACACUGGCACCGCACACAGACAGGAUUUCCUGGGUAGAAUUGGCUGGAAUUUGGUUUGAAGGCAGAGGACAAGGGAGGAAUGAAAACAAAGCGUUCGGUGAAAGUUGGGAUGAUGCUGGGAGUGGAGGUAGCGACAUCCCAAACACUGGAAGGUCAGGGAUGGAUUACCAAAGCACAUGCCCGGACUCUCCUCCCCUCCUUUGGCUGUUUACUCCUCUCUAAUUUAGACAGGAUUUGAUUCCACGGAGUUCCACCAGGAUCUAUAUUUGGACCGCAUUAAGUUUGGAAAUCUCUGUGAGGAUAAUUUUGCAAAUUUGGCGAGUUAUAUUUGGAAGAAGUAUUCGAUACACCAAACAAUCCUGCAUAUGAUGGUGCUAUGAAACUUUACGCAAGAGUUUAUAUCAAAGACAUGUCUGCUAAUAGAAGCUUACAAGUAAAAGGGAGACUCAGCAGCAACGGGAUGCAGUGUGAUGGAUCUUCAGGCUUUUAACCACAAGGAAUCACAGUCUCAAUGUCUGCCCCCUCCACAAAAACACUUCAUCAACAAACCAUAGAUUUCAGCAUGAAAACAACCAUUUGGCUGAAUCAGCAGACCUUUACUAUAAGUGCCACUUUAGACAAACUUCACUUGUAACACAACUGAAGCACAACAUUUUCAAAUCAAUCUUCUGGAGUUGUUUGUUCUGUUCAAAUUGGCUCUGUUAAUCCUAUCAGUCUGCUCUAACUGACAAGGAAAAGAGCUAUGUGGAGAACAUGAGACAGAAUAGACCAUUUGUCACGGCUACCAUCUCCAGAUACGGUGACGAAUAUAAUGUGAAUUUACUGCUCUCAUGGACCUCUGCCAAGAUGAUCAAUUCUGUUUACUGCACGGAGGAAAGAGGGGUCUCUUUAAUAUCUGUGCUGCAAUGUGGGAAUUCUGCUGUAGUCCGUUUUUUUUGUUGUUGACAUAAUGAGUCGUGUUCUUUGCUGCCAUGGGGAGAGCUGAACAAGCUGCAAAAUUGUUGUGUAACCACCGUAUAAAGUUGUUGUGGCUAAUGUGUUAGAAAACAGUCACUAAUCCAGUAGACAGAAAGCAGAAUAAGCAUGGACGCCUAUUAUAAAUGGGCUAGCAAAGCUUAGCCCUCCUUUUUUAUACAAUUAAGAUGAAAAAAUUCACAUUUAAUCUAAUUUAAUUCCCUUCUGUAGAGUAAAUGAGUGACAGGUGUCAUGCCAUGCCCCCUUGAUCUGCUGAAGUGUUAGCAUCAAGCUAACGACCUAAGAUGUAAAUCCUGGUCUAUCUGUGAGUGUAGGUUGACUUAGUGGUCUUAGUGGGCGCCAAAUUGCACCAAACCAAAUUCCUACAUCUUGUUGCUUUCCGUGCCUAUAGGCUAAGACUCUCCUAGAUAAAACGCCAGCAUGAAAUAACCAUGAACAUCAUCCUCACAAAUCACUCGUACUUUCAUGGGCCAACGGGGGCCUGGCUGUGGGACCGUUCCACCUGCAGCUGGACUACACCAAGGCGGAUCAAAUGAAGGAUCCAGAGUGUGAUGAAACGCAGCAUACCAGGGCUCCCAUGUGAAUCCGGCACCUCCGCAUAACAAUCUCUGAUAAGACUUUACAAGGAUAAGAAGGCAUUAUCUGCUAUCUCUAUACUGCCUGCAAACUUUCUUUCUCACGUUGUAUUAUCAAAAGCUCAAAUAUCAACGUGGUGGGAAAAUGUGCCAGAACUUUUAUUGCCUGAUUAGAAUGCCAUAAAUAAACAAGGUAGAGACAAAAACUUUGAUAGAUUCAACGCUGACUCGAUCAGGACAGUAAUACUCCACACAACACUGUGUCCUCUGUUUUUAUUCUUUUCCCCCGACGCCCUCACAGCUGUUGUGAUGUUUAUGUGAAACUCUGUGUUGAUUCCUGGAAGCCGGAGAGAGCAGCAGUCUCUCAUCGCUGUGUAAUUGGCUCUCUGACACAGCGAGGUAUCCGACUCCCAAAUGCAUCCCAUCCAUCUAUAUUCAUUCAUCAUUCAUCCUGCUACAGCACAUUAGCGCCACUAGCAUAACAGGGCUGCAAAAACGACCUGUUUCUAGCUUUGUGUUUUCAGCUGAUGAACUGCAAUAAUGCAUAACUCCUCAGAAGUUUAACAUUUCUAACCUUAAAGAUCAGACUAUGCAGGGUGGCUUCAAUUAAACUGGAAUCAAAAUUGCACCCCACACUGGCUCAACAUUAGCUUACGGACACAUGCUGAUGACAUCAUCAAAUUCACAGCGGCUGCUCAUAAAUCAAGUUCAAACAUGCUGUGGUACAUCAGGAUCUUUUGAGUCCCAGCUUUUUUUAUUUCUUCAUGGAAUCUCAGCGAUAUUAUCUAAAAACUGGUAUGCGCAUGAAAGAAUAGUUUCCCAAAGAACAUUUGGUUUGAGAGGAUCUUCAAAGGAAAAGAAUCGGCUAUUGUCGCAGAAGGGCUGUUGCUGAUUUUAACUUGAGGAAUGUUUUCAAUGGUGUGGACAGAGAGGCUGAUGCCUCAGAUCCUGAAUCAUUUUCUCAUAAUAUCCGAGGAGACAACGCCAAGUUAUCCUGAAAACAUUUAACUUGACUGGCAGAUGGGAGGCAAAAAAAUCCACAGAUUUAUGUCGGGUUUCCGUGCGCUCAUUUUAUAAACCACAUGUAUAAAAAAGGUAUUGAGUUGUUUAAUUUGGUGCAGAAAAGCAGUGCGUGUAUAUAAAAGUGACACAUCGUGAUAUCUCUUCGGUCCCUCUCUGCCAGCAGCGAUGAAAAAUGUGUCUGACAGCUGUGCGGGGGGGGGGGGACAUGUGCAGCUGAUAAGCUUCAGCUAAAAAAAAAAAGGCUGUUCAGCUGGAGGUGAUCACAAAAUAUUUCUACGAGACGCUUUCCAGUUUGACGAGAUUCACGUCUAAUUAAGACACCUUGAAAAAAGCGUGCCUAAAAAAAGAAGUCAAACUAUGUUGUCUAUGUUUGUUGGCUCUCGUAGCAGCACAUCUCGUAUCAGCUUGACAAAAUAAUCUAAGGUAAUGAAGAGCUUUUAAGGCUGCUCAUAGUGGACUCUGGUCAGAGUGUCAGAGAUGAAUUACUACAUGUUAUAUUAUCUCUUCAGUUUAGUUGAUUAACUUCUCAUUCUCCUCACUACUUUUCUUGCUGUCUGUUCAAAGAUCUGAGCUGAACUAGGGGAAAAAUGUUCUGCCUGAUGUAUUUGGGAUUGUGGUUGAUUUGACACAGUUGUCCUUAUUUACUUGUUAUUGUCUUUAAAUGUAUUUUGCAUAAUGUUUAUACGUUUGAUUGUUAAAAACUUUGUCAUUUGUGUUGUUGCCCAUCUUGGCCAGGACACUCUUAAAUGAAUGUUGUCUAAUCUCCUCAAAAAUAAAGGUUAAAUAAAUAAAAUAAAUCUACCCAAAUCUAUAAUAAAAAGAUAAAAUCA